RNAcentral lists this long non-coding RNA (798 nucleotides) under Ananas comosus (pineapple). RNAcentral's name for it is "long non-coding RNA (ACOM_LNC034333)". The record is from RNAcentral. Lineage: Eukaryota; Viridiplantae; Streptophyta; Magnoliopsida; Poales; Bromeliaceae.
AAUCAAAUUUGAUUUUUUGGUGAUUAAUUCAUCUUGGUUGUGAGUGUUGGAUAUGAUGAAUGGAUAUUCUCUAAUAGACUAAAAUUUGUCAAAAUAUUUUCAAUUGUGAGAUUGCCUAAUUUAGGGGGAGUUUGAAAUUUUUUUAAAAAAAAGGAGAAAAAGAAACUCCUAUGUUUAAAAGAUGUGGAAAGAGUUACAUCCAAAAGGAGUGUGAAAACUACCACCACAUGUAGGAAAGAGCUACCACCCCGGUCAUCCGGCAAGUGUGUGAAGCUACCACAUGGUAUUUAAUUGAAAAAGCCGAAAAAGGUUGGAAAAAUAUAAAUAUUUUAGAAUUUUCGGAGUAAUAAGGUGCUAGUUUGAAAAAGAUGCUCAAAGAGCCACCCCCGGUGCCAUAUUAGUUAAAUCUCUAUUUUGAAUAUAUUGCAACAAAUUGGUGUCAAUUUUGUUGAAUUUCUAAAAAUUAUUUUUCAUCAACUUACAUCUUGAUGUUUUUGAAUCAUUAAAUUAUUUUUGAUUUUGAAAUUUUGAUGUUUUGAUGUGUUUUGAAAUUUUAUAAUAUCCUAUUUUAAUUACAAUGAUUUUUGGAGUAAAAGUCUUAACUAUAUGAAUUUAAUUUAAAUAUGAUGGAUUUUUAAAGUAUAUUUUUCGAAAAAAUUUUUUCACAUUUUGGUCCUUGUACCGGAACAAGAACCCGUGUACCGGUACAAGGUCUGCGGCCGAGCGGAAUAUAACCGGGUAUAACGCUUCGAUCUUUUUCAAAACUCAAUCAUUUUCCAAAAUUUUUGGUUCUGUGAG